GCAUCAGUCGUCUAGUGGUUUAGGAUUCUAGUCUUCCACUACCAGCGCGAUUUACGCGUUUGUGGGACUUCUAACUGGUGACGAGGGUUCGAAUCCCUCCUGAUGCA
This is a non-coding RNA of Meira miltonrushii, 107 nucleotides long. Lineage: Eukaryota; Fungi; Basidiomycota; Exobasidiomycetes; Exobasidiales; Brachybasidiaceae. The record is from the annotation of a RefSeq genome assembly.